RNAcentral lists this long non-coding RNA (706 nucleotides) under Mus spicilegus (steppe mouse). Its description in RNAcentral is "lncRNA (ENSMSIG00000018716.1)". The record is from RNAcentral. Lineage: Eukaryota; Metazoa; Chordata; Mammalia; Rodentia; Muridae.
CUUCCUUCCUUCCUUCCUCCCUUCCCUCUCUCCCAUCCCUCUCUGUUAUAGGGUUUUUCCAUGUAUCCCGGGGUUACCUCAAACCUGAGAUCCUGCCUCAGCCUCCUGAGUGCCAGGAUUACAGGCCCACUCCACUGUUGAUGUUUGCUAAAUCUCUUUUCUAUUGUGGACCCACUACAGAGGUUGGCACACAAAGUUCUCCAUGAUAAUUUGCUUAAAGAACAGGUAUAAAAAUCUCUGUCGUCACGUGGAGUGUCCCGACACUAGAUUGACCCUUCAUUAGAGACUGCACCAGACUCCAGGUGAUACUGUAGUGAGGAACAUGCCCAAGGCACAAAACUGCAAAGCUGAAACCAACUUCUCUUUGAAAAAACUCCCCAGAGCAGGGAGAUACAGGUUGUCUGCAAGCAAUUCUUCAGCCAAAAUAACGGACAGAAACAAAGUGAGUCAGAAAACAUGAAAAUGGAGUUCACUUCCAUCCAAUCAACUUUAACAAUGUAAGACAAUUGCAACACAGUGUUUUUCUUUGUUUUGCUUUUCUUUGUAGGGGUCUAGCUAGCAUACCCACGUUGCUUAGAUAAAUAUUUACCAAAUAUGCUAUUGUUUUUACAUAAAUUAAUAAUCAUUGAAGACUUUAUCUAGGUUUUAUUAUCCAGUGUGCUAAACACAUUUAACCUUCAUAAAUAAAAGUUCUUUGGGAGCCUCA